GAUGCUUGCAUCCGCUGACGACCGGCGCACGGGUGCGUAACGCGUAUACAAUCUACCUUUUACAGGGGGAUAGCCUUUGGAAACGAAGAAUAAUACCCCAUAGUAUUAUAGUUUGGCAUCGAAUUGUAAUUAAAGUUUCGGCGGUAAGAGAUGAGUAUGCGUCCUAUUAGCUAGAUGGUGUGGUAACGGCACACCAUGGCAACGAUAGGUAGGGGCCCUGAGAGGGGGAUCCCCCACACUGGUACUGAGACACGGACCAGACUCCUACGGGAGGCAGCAGUGAGGAAUAUUGGACAAUGGGCGAGAGCCUGAUCCAGCCAUGCCGCGUGCAGGAAGACUGCCCUAUGGGUUGUAAACUGCUUUUGUACGGGAAGAAACCCGUCCUCGUGAGGGCGGCUGACGGUACCGUAAGAAUAAGCAUCGGCUAACUCCGUGCCAGCAGCCGCGGUAAUACGGAGGAUGCAAGCGUUAUCCGGAAUCAUUGGGUUUAAAGGGUCCGUAGGUGGAUCGGUCAGUCAGAGGUGAAAUCCUGCAGCUCAACUGUAGAACUGCCUUUGAUACUGCCGGUCUUGAAUUAUUGUGAAGUGGUUAGAAUAUGUAGUGUAGCGGUGAAAUGCAUAGAUAUUACAUAGAAUACCGAUUGCGAAGGCAGAUCACUAACGAUAUAUUGACACUGAUGGACGAAAGCGUGGGGAGCGAACGGGAUUAGAUACCCCGGUAGUCCACGCCGUAAACGAUGGUCACUAGCUGUUCGGACUUCGGUCUGAGUGGCUAAGCGAAAGUGAUAAGUGACCCACCUGGGGAGUACGUUCGCAAGAAUGAAACUCAAAGGAAUUGACGGGGGCCCGCACAAGCGGUGGAGCAUGUGGUUUAAUUCGAUGAUACGCGAGGAACCUUACCAGGGCUUAAAU
This 911-nucleotide ribosomal RNA is filed under the name uncultured bacterium. RNAcentral's name for it is "bacterial SSU rRNA". It matches the Rfam family "Bacterial small subunit ribosomal RNA", at positions 75 to 986 of the family's 1533-position model. The record is from RNAcentral.